GGUUGAUCCUGCCAGUAGUC
Molecule: ribosomal RNA, 20 nt
Filed under: Acacia asperulacea
Lineage: Eukaryota; Viridiplantae; Streptophyta; Magnoliopsida; Fabales; Fabaceae
Description: partial 18S ribosomal RNA
Source: RNAcentral